This 4866-nucleotide long non-coding RNA is filed under the name Musa acuminata (dwarf banana). RNAcentral's name for it is "long non-coding RNA (MACU_LNC011137)". The record is from RNAcentral. Lineage: Eukaryota; Viridiplantae; Streptophyta; Magnoliopsida; Zingiberales; Musaceae.
UCCUUGCCUACCCAUCUAAAAGUCCUUAUCUGAGACCCUCAAUCUUCUAGUAAGUUCGCCCUUAUAGUCUGUUUCGGAUAGAAUGUUUUCGUAGAAUAUAAGUCAGAGAAAAAAGCAUGUAAGUCAGAGAAAAAAGCAUGUUUUCGUAGAAUAUUGUUUUCGUAUAUCGUAUAUAAGAUAAGAAUCAAUCGUAUAUCAUAUAUAAGAUAAGAAUAAUAAGAGUGAAUUUCGAUUGGAAUGUAAUGUUGUUUACAGUGUUGUUCGAGUGGAAAGAUGACUUUAGUGCUAGUCUAGUAGGUCUCGCCCAGUAGCGCCUUGACAAUUUAUGUGUGCGAAAUGCACGCGUUAAGGACGGUCCCCGAGGCUGGAAAACAACUCUGGUUUUCUUUCCAUUUGAUCCAAUCUGUACGAGUGUUAAGUCAACUCCUCACUCCUGAAAUUCAGUAUUCCGGGGGUUUCUACCACUCCUUCAAUUCAGUAUUCCGGGGGUUGAUACCUAAAUUCAUCCUAUUCCAGUUCGAUAGCCUGUUCGAUAGUUUUAUACCCGAAUAAUUCCUAUUUCUGUUCGAUGGGUUGAUACCAUCAUUCUUUUCGUCUUUUUUCUACCUUCCAGAUUGAAGAUGUCUCUGUCGGGAUUCCAUUACCUUUUUGUCGUGAUUCCGUUACCUUUUAGGAGGGAAAUGUGAAAAAAGGGGUGUCGGGAUUCACUUACUAUUUUGUCGCGAUUCCGUUACCUUUUUUAGGGCCAAGUCACUACUUUUGUGAUGCGGCAGCCUUGUCCACUUUUCUGGUUUAUUUCAUAUUUCUAAUUUGUGAUUUGAUUGUUUUUCUCAUAUCUUGGAUUACAAUACCCUAGCCCGACCCUAACAAGCUAGAUCUUCUUCUUAUGUACUAGAUGCUGGCCUAGUAACAGACUUCGGGCUUCCUAUAUAGUCUCUCGGUCAAGCCUUAAUAAGUAGGGGCUUACUAGCCUAGUAACUUCAUGAAACCUGCAUACCCUAUAGUAACAGAGGAAUUCCACAAGCCUACCCUCGUACCAGCACAAACCUACCCUCGUAAGUAAACAACACAGCCACUACCCAUACAAGGCACCAGUGGAUUUGAAGUCAACAAAGACAGAUUCCACAAACAAGUAAGUAAACUACCCGAGCCUUGGGCUAGUUCCAGCGAAGAAAGUAAGUAAGAGACUCAGAAUUGAAACAGUGCCCACCAGUCUUCACUCAGUUACCACAUCCCCAUAUUAUAAGUAGUGCUAGAAUGCAACCACUAACAACAAGAAUGGAAACCAGCUCACUGAUUCUCUCAUCAUCAAGAUACAGAAUCAAACUCAGUAGUCAAAGAGCCAGGGCAGAGGCAAGAUCAGAGGUAUAGUAGCAAGAGUUAGAGUAGUAGCUUGCCGUGGAGCUAGUAAAGCAAAGGAUGAAAGCAGUGAGGGCUCGCUACCGCGUCACAUUAGUAGUGCCUUGGUGACUGAUGCGGUGCCUAGGUAGCUAAGGUACUACUAGGGGUAUUGACUCUCCGAUGAGCUAGUUGAUCUAGUAGUAAAGUGAGAAUUCCACCAGUCAGUAGAAGCCGUAAAGCAGCUACAUUCCCACCGAUUCUCUGAUGCUAGCAGAAUGGAGCUAAGAAGUGGGAAAGCCAGAAUUGACCUAAGUGAAGUAGUUAAAGAAUGAACCAAGGCAGUUACAGAGUGAAACCUCGUAUCAAAGAAUCAGAAGAAGGCAGAAGCUAUCAAAGAAUCAAACUCAGUAGUCCUAGCAUCUAGUAAACAUCUAGUACUGUUGCUUGCCGGUGAGUGACUGGGUGUUCGAAGCCCCUGUUCCUGUUCAUAAGUAAGGGAAGGUAAGGAUUGGAGUGGGAAUGGGAAGUAGUCCAGAGCAAUAACUGUAUUUGUAACCAGAGGAGAGACUUCCUAUUAUAGUGAUAGUAGCCAAAGGGGAGGAACUCUUUAUUAGUUGACAGAGCCAUAGGAGAGGGAAUAGAACCAGAGGGGAGGAGAUAGUGGAAAGUCAGAGACAACCUCAUAAGCCGAAUGCAAAUAGCCACUCCUUUGUGUUGGGGUCAGCAGUCGGAAUUAAGGAACUUAACUAAGUAGUGCUAGUCUAAAGAAUCAACCCUGUAGCCUCCAAACUAUGGAGAAUCUCUCCUCUGAUCUUGCCUCUGCAUGAAGCAAGGAGAGUUAGAUGAGCAAUAGGAGAGUUCAAAGAGAUGAGAUGAGAUCCAUAACUUGAUUAGUUUACAGAGCCAUAUAGGGCAGGGAAAUGGGCAAUUCCAUUCUUUGUUUAGGGUAGGGUUCGAGUAUACAGGAGCGGAUGCUUGAUCAAUGGAAUAAGUCUUGUUCCAGUAAGUGAAAUUCUGAUCUGAGUAGUAAAUGUAGUGUCUUGGCCGAAAUCAUUCCUUUUGAGCCCUUUUCUUAAAAUAUCCCUAUUCUUUCUUAGUAAUACGAUGAUUUGGACUAAUGCGCUAGAUGUACCCUGUUCUUCUAUCUUAUACCAAUACUAGAUGCGCUAGCAAGGACUUGCUCAUAAAGGGAAGCUAUUCAAGGAGUUGGCGAAAGUCUAGUCCAAGUAGCAGUCCUAUAGAAUCUCAAGUAGGAGUCCUGUUCGAGGUAAGUUAGAGUCUAGGUCUGCAAGGUCAGCUGUGGAAUCAGUAGUUGUUAGUUUCAUACCGGUAGUACUUGUUACUUCUAGUAGUUCCUUGGCUCAUAGCAUUGGUUGAGUGGUAGUAAUAAAUUGUGGCAGAUAUAUAAGUUGCCCACUACUGGUCAAGUCCUGUGUUCGGGGUAAACAGGCUUUUGAAACUCAGAACUAGGAAAUCCAGCAACGCUAACUGGAAUGCGUCUACUACUGACAAAGCUGAUAUCACUACUAAAAGGAAUAAAUCAACUCAUAACUAGGAAAUCAAACUAGAGUACUUAUGGGACUGGACUGCAACUAGCGCUUCUACUACUAAGAGGAAACUCCAAAAUCAAUAUCCAUAUAAUAAUGAGAAAACACAUAUCCAUAUUCUAAUGAGAAAAUACAGAAUAGCAUUGGGGCGGAGGCCAUAGUUCUUUUCUGUUUUUGUAUCAAUUGGUUAAGUAAGUGAAGUAAGAGAAGAGAAUCAGAGGUUCCAAUAAGUAAGAGAAUCAUUGGUGAAAAAGCUGGACUAAGUAUUAGAAUCAUUAAGAAGGUGGAGCCAAUAGACUUUAGCGUAAUAAUUACAAGACCGAACACGGAAUAAGCAACUACAGAAGUCAACUCAUAGAAGUGAGAAUGAUUGCCCAGAAGGGGAGACUUAGAUGAAGUAGUAGCAGACUCUUUGUUAGAGGUUUUCGAAUCCAAAUCAGUAACUACAAUCUGGAUCAGUAGUGGGAGAACUUAAGUAAUCAAUUGAAGAAUAAGAUACGGGCGGGGGGCAGGUAUAAGAUUCAUAGACUGCAGUGCUCCUAUUAGUAGUAGUAACAGGCUAGGCUCUUAUUGAUAGUAGUAACAGAGGGGCCAAGUAACGGGCAACUACUUAAGAAGUCAAGUCUAGGUCGGGGCGGGGCAGACUAUCUUACUUGCUUUGAGGAGAGACAUAAGCACUAACUGAGUUGAGCUCGGGGUUAACACUUAUUAGAGAAGAGGUCGGGCUUUCCCCUUGUAAUGGAGGUCGGGUCUGGUCGGGGUUAACACUUAUAAGAUCAGAGGAGUUGUUUGUUUCAAGAGCAAGAUCAGAGGGAGAUGAGAAAGCAUCUUGUUUAGAUGAGCCAGAGUUCAGAGGUAUCGGAUAAGAGACAGAGGAGAGGCUGCUAGUCAAGUAAUCUCUAACUAAGGUAGGGUCGGGCUAGGGAAUAAAAGGAAUGAAAUGAAAUAAACUAGAAAACUUCUUUCCCUGCUCCCAUAAGAGGAGUGGACACAUAGCUUGAAGACCUGAUUGAGAGUACAUAUAUGUGUUGGCUUGAAGUGAAGACCUGAUUGAGAGUUGAAGAUAGGGUUGGCGAGCCUCAUUCUGUGGUAUGAUUGUUGCCAGCUGCUUUGCUUGUGGAAUGACUUGUUGAAUCCCUUGUUUUGGGCGUAGUGUAGUGGCGGUGUUUUAGUUGAAAGUCCCUAAAGUCAUACUUGUAGACAGGAGAUAUAGGCUGAGCUAAAGUAAAGCAAAGACCAUUCUGAGACUUAUUAGUGAAAUUCCCGUUUGAGGAGCGUCCGCCUUGCUUGUUAGGUAGGGCAGCGUUCGAGUCGUUAGGUUCUGUUGGAUUCCUCUGAGUCUAGUUAGCACCAACACUUAAAGGGAUUAUGUUCACUUAGAAAAGAAUUAGGGAAGUUUACUUCACACUGGCACAGCAGCUCUUCUCGUUCAAUGAGAAAGUGUUCCUGUUACGGCUUUUUAUCCUGGUUUAUAUUAUCGUUAGCUACUAGUUAAGCCCUAGUUCUUAGUUAAAGGAAUAGAAGUGAGAGUUUGAUUAAGCGUACGCCUGUUAAAGUAUGGGAGGCACCUGUUCCAUUCUCUGUAUUUGUAGAUGCAUUCUGAUAGUCGUCGUUUGAUUCCCGGUAAUAACUCUAACUACUUUCCUCGAACGCUCCUAUUAACGGAAUGAUGAAACUAGUAGUAGCUUGCCGGGUCUAAAGUAUCACCCCAAAAGUAGUGGUCCAAUCGAGACCAGACCCAUCUCCUCUCCACUAGUUCUUGACCCAACGAGUAGUAAUCUAGUCCUGUGGAAUCAGUAGUAGUUGACAGAGGUCUAGGAUAUCUUAGUUUAGGUAAGUCCAGUAGUAGCUUGGCCGCCUAAGCUUGGUCAUUAGUAGUUGCUUGGUGGCUGAUGCGGUGUCUGCAGGCCUAAUAUAUAAAGGAGAAGGGCCAAGAAGAGAAUGAAUAUAAAAGAGAAGACGGCCCAGGAAUUCUGGG